RNAcentral lists this ribosomal RNA (253 nucleotides) under uncultured bacterium. Its description in RNAcentral is "partial 16S ribosomal RNA". It matches the Rfam family "Bacterial small subunit ribosomal RNA", at positions 524 to 776 of the family's 1533-position model. The record is from RNAcentral.
UACGUAGGUGGCAAGCGUUGUCCGGAAUUAUUGGGCGUAAAGCGCGCGCAGGUGGUUCUUUAAGUCUGAUGUGAAAGCCCCCGGCUCAACCGGGGAGGGUCAUUGGAAACUGGGGAACUUGAGUGCAGAAGAGGAUAGUGGAAUUCCAAGUGUAGCGGUGAAAUGCGUAGAGAUUUGGAGGAACACCAGUGGCGAAGGCGACUGUCUGGUCUGUAACUGACACUGAGGCGCGAAAGCGUGGGGAGCAAACAGG